AGGACGAACGGCUGGCGGCGUGCUUAACACAUGCAAGUCGAACGGUGAAGCGCUUCCUUUUUGGUGGGUGUGGAUGAGUGGCGAACGGGUGAGUAACACGUGAGUAACCUGCCCCUUCUUCUGGAUAACCGCAUGAAAGUGUGGCUAAUACGGGAUAUUCUGGGUCUGUCGCAUGGUGGGUCCGGGAAAGGUUUUUUCUGGUGGGGGAUGGGCUCGCGGCCUAUCAGCUUGUUGGUGGGGUGAUGGCCUACCAAGGCGGUGACGGGGUAGCCGGCCUGAGAGGGUGGACGGUCACACUGGGACUGAGACACGGCCCAGACUCCUACGGGAGGCAGCAGUGGGGAAUAUUGCACAAUGGGCGCAAGCCUGAUGCAGCGACGCCGCGUGAGGGAUGGAGGCCUUCGGGUUGUGAACCUCUUUCGCCAGUGAAGCAGGCCUGCCCCUGGUGGGUGGGUUGACGGUAGCUGGAUAAGAAGCGCCGGCUAACUACGUG
This 493-nucleotide ribosomal RNA is filed under the name uncultured Actinomyces sp. Its description in RNAcentral is "bacterial SSU rRNA". It matches the Rfam family "Bacterial small subunit ribosomal RNA", at positions 26 to 507 of the family's 1533-position model. The record is from RNAcentral. Lineage: Bacteria; Bacillati; Actinomycetota; Actinomycetes; Actinomycetales; Actinomycetaceae.